Molecule: ribosomal RNA, 497 nt
Filed under: uncultured bacterium
Lineage: Bacteria
Description: partial 16S ribosomal RNA
Rfam family: Bacterial small subunit ribosomal RNA
Source: RNAcentral
GACGAACGCUGGCGGCGUGCCUAAUACAUGCAAGUAGAACGCUGAAGAGAGGAGCUUGCUCUUCUUGGAUGAGUUGCGAACGGGUGAGUAACGCGUAGGUAACCUGCCUUGUAGCGGGGGAUAACUAUUGGAAACGAUAGCUAAUACCGCAUAACAAUGGAUGACACAUGUCAUUUAUUUGAAAGGGGCAAUUGCUCCACUACAAGAUGGACCUGCGUUGUAUUAGCUAGUAGGUGAGGUAAUGGCUCACCUAGGCGACGAUACAUAGCCGACCUGAGAGGGUGAUCGGCCACACUGGGACUGAGACACGGCCCAGACUCCUACGGGAGACAGCAGUAGGGAAUCUUCGGCAAUGGGGGCAACCCUGACCGAGCAACGCCGCGUGAGUGAAGAAGGUUUUCGGAUCGUAAAGCUCUGUUGUAAGUCAAGAACGGGUGUGAGAGUGGAAAGUUCACACUGUGACGGUAGCUUACCAGAAAGGGACGGCUAACUACGUG